UGGGGAAUUUUGGACAAUGGGCGAAAGCCUGAUCCAGCAAUGCCGCGUGUGUGAAGAAGGCCUUCGGGUUGUAAAGCACUUUUGUCCGGAAAGAAAUCCUCUGGGUUAAUACCUCGGGGGGAUGACGGUACCGGAAGAAUAAGCACCGGCUAACUACGUGCCAGCAGCCGCGGUAAUACGUAGGGUGCAAGCGUUAAUCGGAAUUACUGGGCGUAAAGCGUGCGCAGGCGGUUUUGUAAGACGGAUGUGAAAUCCCCGGGCUUAACCUGGGAACUGCAUUCGUGACUGCAAGGCUAGAGUAUGGCAGAGGGGGGUAGAAUUCCACGUGUAGCAGUGAAAUGCGUAGAGAUGUGGAGGAAUACCGAUGGCGAAGGCAGCCCCCUGGGCCAAUACUGACGCUCAUGCACGAAAGCGUGGGGAGCAAACAGGAUUAGAUACCCUGGUAGUCCACGCCCUAAAACGAUGUCAACUAGUUGUUGGGGAUUCAUUUCCUUAGUAACGUAGCUAACGCGUGAAGUUGACCGCCUGGGGAGUACGGUCGCAAGAUUAAAACUUAAAUGAAUUGACGGGGUCAUAGCUGUUUCC
This 585-nucleotide ribosomal RNA is filed under the name uncultured bacterium. RNAcentral describes it as "partial 16S ribosomal RNA". It matches the Rfam family "Bacterial small subunit ribosomal RNA", at positions 355 to 937 of the family's 1533-position model. The record is from RNAcentral.